Molecule: ribosomal RNA, 187 nt
Filed under: uncultured bacterium
Lineage: Bacteria
Description: partial 16S ribosomal RNA
Rfam family: Bacterial small subunit ribosomal RNA
Source: RNAcentral
CCUUCACGAAGUCGGAAUUGCUAGUAAUGGCAGGUCAGCAUACUGCCGUGAAUACGUUCCCGGGCCUUGUACACACCGCCCGUCACACCAUGAGAGUUAGGAAUACCCGAAGCCUGUGAGCCAACUUUUCAAGAGGCAGCAGUCGAAGGUAGAACUAAUGAUUGGGGUGAAGUCGUAACAAGGUAAC